UCAGUCCUACGGGGGGCAGCAGUGAGGAAUAUUGGUCAAUGGCCGGAAGGCUGAACCAGCCAAGCCGCGUGAAGGACGAAGGUGCCAAGCAUUGUAAACUUCUUUUGUCAAGGGACAAAAUCAGGCUCGAGAGCCUGACCGAGGGUACUUGAAGAAAAAGCAUCGGCUAACUCCGUGCCAGCAGCCGCGGUAAUACGGAGGAUGCGAGCGUUAUCCGGAUUUACUGGGUGUAAAGGGAGCGUAGACGGCAGCGCAAGUCUGAAGUGAAAUGCCGGGGCUUAACCCCGGAACUGCUUUGGAAACUG
RNAcentral lists this ribosomal RNA (305 nucleotides) under uncultured bacterium. RNAcentral's name for it is "bacterial SSU rRNA". It matches the Rfam family "Bacterial small subunit ribosomal RNA", at positions 333 to 635 of the family's 1533-position model. The record is from RNAcentral.